CCCAAUGACUGCUGGUGCAAUCCUGUGUUUUCCUCAGUAGCUCUGAGCGAGAGCAACCCUCUCUUCACUUCAUUCCUCUAGAAUUUACCUCUGGGGUGUAAUUGAUGUAAUGCUGUUAAGACCUAAGUAGUUGAUUUUUUUACCCCAUCAGAAAAGUGAGUUGGAUGAAGCCUGACUCCGAGUUGUUGAUCUCCAGACAUUAAGUUGAUCUCUAGACAUUUGCGCACAGUGAGGAAAGAGAAGCAAAAUGGGCAGGCUCUGGUCGUGGACUCGAGGGCAGACCACAUGGGGGGAGGAGCCGGCCUUGAGAUGCGUAGGGGCCCCAAGAUUUCUGGUGGAAGCCCUGAAGAGAGGGGAGGGAGAGACUGCACUGCAGCACUGUGGACAUACAGCACUCUUAGAUAAAUAGGAAAGUGAUAUUGAAAACUGAUAGGACGGAGCCCAGGUACGGGGGCCUCCCCCACUGAGGAAUCUUCAGCCCAGACAGAUAAUCUGAAAGGCAAUAAGUACAGAUGCGAUUUUCAAGAGCUGCUGAAGAAUAGGAUAUAAUGUAACCAGAUCAUGCACGGGCGCAAUGUUUCCCAGCCCUUAAAGAGAGAAGACGGGAAAAGAGCAAAGCACCUGAAAUCCCAUCCACACUUGUGUCCUGCUCUCCAUACUACCCGAGAACGAAGGAUUAUUCCUCAAUUAUCACUAAAGACUCUUAACGCUGAAUUGUCACAAAGCAGGGUUCGCAUUUACAGGAUAAUUCCACAGUUGAAGGCUGGGAAGUGGGGCCGGCAUUAUUCAGGUAAAGAUGGCCGCAGUCACUGAUUGCGGGAUGGUGUAUCUGGUUAAUGGUAUUCUUCGCCAUGGACAGUGCAUCUAAAAAAAUAAA
Long non-coding RNA from Hyla sarda, 877 nucleotides. RefSeq lists it as uncharacterized. The transcript has 4 exons. Lineage: Eukaryota; Metazoa; Chordata; Amphibia; Anura; Hylidae. The record is from RefSeq and is a predicted model, not a curated record.